RNAcentral lists this ribosomal RNA (298 nucleotides) under Sonotetranychus sp. AP-2010. RNAcentral describes it as "partial 28S ribosomal RNA". It matches the Rfam family "Eukaryotic large subunit ribosomal RNA", at positions 666 to 944 of the family's 3401-position model. Lineage: Eukaryota; Metazoa; Arthropoda; Arachnida; Trombidiformes; Tetranychidae. The record is from RNAcentral.
CCAAGGAGUCUAGCAUAUAUGCAAGCUGAUCAGUCUUAUUCAGGCUUGAGAGGCGUAUUGAAAGAAAUUGAUGUGAUAAACACAUGGAAACAUUGUGUUUCGCAACAUCAACCCAUGUUUAAUCCACUUUACUGUGAUUUUCAUGGAGUUCUAGUAUAUAUGCUAGUACCCGAAAGAUGGUGAACUAAGCCCGGACAAGAUGAAGCCAGAGGAAACUCUGGUGGAGGUCUGUAGCGAUUCUGACGUGCAAAUCGAUCGUCAGAUCCGGGUUUAGGGGCGAAAGACUAAUCGAACCGUC